Molecule: ribosomal RNA, 429 nt
Filed under: Chloroflexota bacterium
Lineage: Bacteria; Bacillati; Chloroflexota
Description: Chloroflexi bacterium partial 16S ribosomal RNA
Rfam family: Bacterial small subunit ribosomal RNA
Source: RNAcentral
UGGGGAAUAUUGCACAAUGGGCGCAAGCCUGAUGCAGCCAUGCCGCGUGUGUGAAGAAGGCCUUCGGGUUGUAAAGCACUUUCAGCGGGGAGGAAGGCGAUAAGGUUAAUAACCUUGUCGAUUGACGUUACCCGCAGAAGAAGCACCGGCUAACUCCGUGCCAGCAGCCGCGGUAAUACGGAGGGUGCAAGCGUUAAUCGGAAUUACUGGGCGUAAAGCGCACGCAGGCGGUUUGUUAAGUCAGAUGUGAAAUCCCCGGGCUCAACCUGGGAACUGCAUCUGAUACUGGCAAGCUUGAGUCUCGUAGAGGGGGGUAGAAUUCCAGGUGUAGCGGUGAAAUGCGUAGAGAUCGGGAGGAAUACCGGUGGCGAAGGCGGCACCCUGGACGAAGACUGACGCUCAGAUGCGAAAGCGUGGGGAGCAAACAGG